AUGCUUGUGUUGGCAGCACAUGUACUAAAAUUGGAACAAUGCAGAGAAGAUCAGCAUGGCCAUUGCACAAGGAUGACAUGCAAACUUGCGAAGUGUUCCAUAAUUUG
Molecule: small nuclear RNA, 107 nt
Organism: Peromyscus maniculatus bairdii (prairie deer mouse)
Lineage: Eukaryota; Metazoa; Chordata; Mammalia; Rodentia; Cricetidae
Source: Ensembl